UGGUAGAUGCACCCUGAUUCCUGACCUCUGGCCUGCGGGCCAGGGGUUUUUUGU
Molecule: small RNA, 54 nt
Filed under: Halomicronema hongdechloris C2206
Lineage: Bacteria; Bacillati; Cyanobacteriota; Cyanophyceae; Nodosilineales; Nodosilineaceae
Description: Nitrogen stress-induced RNA 1
Rfam family: Nitrogen stress-induced RNA 1
Source: Rfam by way of RNAcentral